CUCUGGGCCUAGAGUUAGAGCAUGGUGUUUGCAACGCCAGGGUUGUGGGUUCGAUUCCCACAGGG
Molecule: transfer RNA, 65 nt
Filed under: Salmo salar (Atlantic salmon)
Lineage: Eukaryota; Metazoa; Chordata; Actinopteri; Salmoniformes; Salmonidae
Rfam family: tRNA
About the family: Transfer RNA (tRNA) molecules are approximately 80 nucleotides in length.
Source: Rfam by way of RNAcentral